This 254-nucleotide ribosomal RNA is filed under the name uncultured bacterium. RNAcentral describes it as "partial 16S ribosomal RNA". It matches the Rfam family "Bacterial small subunit ribosomal RNA", at positions 524 to 776 of the family's 1533-position model. The record is from RNAcentral.
CACGUAGGGGGCAAGCGUUGUCCGGAAUCAUUGGGCGUAAAGAGCUCGUAGGCGGCUCAGUAAGUCGGGUGUGAAACCCUCAGGCUCAACCUGGGGACGCCACCCGAUACUGCUGUGGCUAGAGUCCAGUAGGGGAGUGUGGAAUUCCCGGUGUAGCGGUGAAAUGCGCAGAUAUCGGGAGGAACACCAGCGGCGAAGGCGGCACUCUGGGCUGGAACUGACGCUGAGGAGCGAAAGCGUGGGUAGCAAACAGG